CCUUGAGCCCAAGACCCUGCAGGAGCGAUGGCUGGGGGACGGUGUCCUGGGGUGCCAGGGCUGAAGGGAACCUCAGCCGAACCCAGGUUGAGGGCGUUUCAGGGUUAACAAGGUUUUCUCUAUUGCCAGGGUGACGGGAAUUGAACUCUCUCCGCGAUUUAUUUUAAUUAGAACUAAAUAAUACGGCAUUAGGGAGCACCAAAGGAAUCGUAAGGGGAAGGAGGAGGAAGGGGAGAUGCUGAAGUUGGGUCAUUCCCAAGGCUUCGGGUCUGCGAGGUCCACUGACUCACCGGGAGAAAGGGCUGCGGCACCGACGGACGCUGCGCGUCAGCACAGGGUGGUAGAUCGCAGCUCGGUGUUGGUUCGUUGCAGGUUACAGAGCCCUCGUGCAAUUAAAGAGAGCCGUUUCCAGUCUUCUUAAGCAAAACUGGCAUUACUUGCAACAGGUGAGAAAUGCGUGCUGCAGACCCAAGACAGCAAACUGGUUCACAGGCUGCAGUUGCCAUAUCGGUUCCUAAAGCCGCUUGUAGGAAAUCACUCAGCCUAAAGAAACUCCUGGGAUCCCAGCCUCUACUUCCUCUUUCAAAAUGCAUGGGAGAACUUGUCUGGCCUAUCGGGCGGGGAAUUUAAUUGCAAGAAGGCUCUGGAGGACGGAUGGUUGGUGCUGGAAGGUAGCUGUACCGUUAGCAUGUUACCCGCCCCCAAAAAGGAGCAUCCAGGCUCUAAUCCAUACCCCCAAGUCAUGCCAGCUAGCUGGGAACCAAAGCACGCCCACACUCGAGUUGGAGACUUCUGUGCUCAGACAAGGAGGAUUACGGACAUCAUAUGACUAAUUCUGCAAUGACGGUAUAUGCUUAAUUGUUGCCACUGAAAUCAUUGGAAUUCAGCACUUCAGCGUUUGGGAAGACCUGCCACAAUAGCAAUCCCCUGUUUGCAAUCAAGGAGAUUGCAAGAGCAAUCACAUGCAUAUUUAGCUGAUGUGCAGCUCCUAGGAUUGUAGGGGUACAGAAACAAGCUAAGAAAUAAGUGUGCCAUAACUGUGGAAGUUCAUUAUUCUAGAGCAUUAAAAAUCCAGCCUUUCUUUGACAAGGAAACGCUGCACAUGAGUGGAGCUUUUCCACGUGAAAUGUUGCAAAGGAAUCUCGGUUAUGUUUAGCGUUAGGGAGGCACAAAGGAAAUCUCAUUAGAACCCACUGACAAUGAUCUGUUAUAAAGGGAACAGGAGCAAUUCAUGAGCUCGGGGAAAAAUAAGAGCGCAUCUCUGUUCUGCCCCUGUCCUCACUGUCUGCUGCUACUCUAGGACACAGAUUUCUUGAGAGAAGGAUCUGUGCCUUCUUGCUCAUUUAGCUCUUAUACAUCAUGUUUUAUUUGCUAGGAGACUUGAACGAUGAGCAGCAAGCACUCUUGUUCCUAUUUUAAAUGCAUGGGAACUGCAGUACAGAGAAAUAAAAUGACUUGCGCAGGGUCACAGAGCAAUUCUGUGGCAGGGCUAGGACCAGAACCCAGCUCCCUUGCUCCCAAACCUUCAUCUCUUCAUUGACCCUUAAUUUUAAUCACUUUCCAAGGAAGUCUGUUGGUGUCUUCCAGUUGACUUCCAUGGGAGUAAUGCCAGGUAUCAAAUGAAGUCACUGGGAAUAUCAAUGCAAAAGAAGCCAAUAUUAGAUGCAAAGAAAGAACUGAUGGAAGGGGAAAAAAUAGAUCUUACAAAAAAAGGAGUAAGUUCUAGUGCCGCUUCCAUAAUAUCAUUCCCUCUUUAAUUUGUGCCUGGUCAAAAUUAAAAAAAAAAUAGAUUGCUAAUAUUAAUAGAUGAAAUGAAUCUUGAAUUUUAUAAUAGUGGAGGAAAUGAAAGGACCAAAGUAAUAUUGUGUUGUUAACUGAGAUUUUAAUAAUGAUUCUGUCCUCAGUUGGUGCAUUUGUUCCACAGAAAGUAAAUCAUUAAUGAAGAGGGGGGGAAAACAGUUUUAUGGUGAUGGAUUUUUGAAAGAAAAGUUUAAUUUUGCUUAACUUUUAGAAACUCAGAAAUAUGCCUGGAGCUCUAAAACUAAAAGACAAACGCCUCCAAACCAGUCCACAAGGAUGGGAUUUAGCCAAGUGGCUAACACUGCCUGGGGCAGGAUGGAGUAAUGUCCAUUGCUCCUCUCCGAGAGAGCUGAGCUAUUUCUGAAUGGCAUCUGGAGAGCACUAAGGACAUCAUCCUCACCCUAAACCAAAGGAGAUCUAACUGGGCUCAUCCUAUGGUUUCUGUGGACUUCUGCAAAAUCUGCUUCCACCACGUCCUCUGCAUGGGAUGGGUGGACUCAAACCACUCUUGGUGCCAUGAGAGUGUUUGACUUCCCAAGUGAAGAAAGAGCCUGCCAAGGCUAGCAUGUCCAGCGGUGGCUCUUGACCUACCCACCGCUAUCUUCAGCCGCCUCCAAGGAGUCCCAAAAAAAUGGCUCCCUGGAGCAGCAAUGCAUUUCACACCAAGCCCCUGGUUUGAUAUGUCGAGCAUAGAAAGGAUCGCGGUCUCACAGUGGUGGAGAAGAAAAGCAUCUCUGUAGCUGGGAUUUGGUGCCUAAGAAAAAGCAAAUAUGGAACAUACGUGCCUGCAUGUGCAUGAAGGAGAUGGGGGGAAAACACAGAAUUCCCCUGAUUCCUUAAUGAGCGCAGCACCCCAACAAUGAAUGUAGAAAUUUGCAAAUUAAAUGACAUUUUUGUAUGUAAAUUAUCAAAUCAAUAAAGAGAUGUAAACAUUAAACAACA
Long non-coding RNA from Harpia harpyja (harpy eagle), 2742 nucleotides. RefSeq lists it as uncharacterized. The transcript has 5 exons. Lineage: Eukaryota; Metazoa; Chordata; Aves; Accipitriformes; Accipitridae. The record is from RefSeq and is a predicted model, not a curated record.